AAAAAAUCUUUAAUCCUUGUGAACCCACCCAUCUUCUUGAAUCUAUGUCUGCUAAUCUGAGUCAACAAGAACCAACCCACAACCACCGCCAUAUAAUUCUUAACCUUAUUCCCAAAAUACCCUUCAGUCAAAAAAUCCCCAUAUCGAUCUCGCCUUAAACAAUUAAUUCUUCCCUCUUACGCCAUAUAAUUCUGAGCCAACCAAUCAAUAAAGCCAUCAGAAAGAUCAAACCAGAACCAAACAUGUUUAGAAAAAGAAAAGUACCAAAAAUGCCCCUGGUUAAUACCACUCCCAACCGAACGCACAUAAUCAUCUACUUAUAUUUUUCUUCCCACCCCCAGGCACCUGCGACAAAAAGAAAGCAUCGACAUCACCCAAACACCCAUCUACACCUAUUACAGCAUAAAAUCCAAUAAUUAGCUAGUCGCUUUGCUGGUUUCCCAACCCCAAAAGAAAAAUAAAAACCUUCUUCUAACACAUGAGAUUUAAUGCAGUUCUGAGGUUCAAAAAAUUGAACAAAGAAAUAACUAGUAAAUCUGUAGGUUGAUAGUGGCUUCGAUAUCGAUUGAAGAUCAGAAGGAGGCAAUUAGCGGUGGUGACAAAAGAUCGGUGGCGGCGUUCCAGUAUUGUUUGAAGAUCAAGAAGCGGCGAUUGGCGGUGACGAUUGAAGACCAGGUAGCAGCGAUUGAAGAUGUCGAUUGAAGUGGAUGUCGACUGAAGUCAAUGAGAAGAAGGGCUAAGAAACGAACGAGGAUUGAAGAUAGUGAUGGUGACUGCAACGUGAGAUGCAGUGGUGAACAGAUUUGAGUGGUGUAUGGACGAUGGAGGCGGAACUAUUGAUGAAGCCCUAGGUAUCCAAGGCAGAAAUAAAGAUACGGGAAUAGAAAAGGAAAUAGACGAGACUUGAGAAAUUUUAGGAGUUAGAUAAAGAUUUAAUUACUAUUAUACCCUUAUGACAAUUUUAAUGUUACAAUUUAAUCCCUGUAAUUUUAAGAGUUUG
This 1000-nucleotide long non-coding RNA is filed under the name Lactuca sativa (garden lettuce). RNAcentral's name for it is "long non-coding RNA (LSAT_LNC007623)". Lineage: Eukaryota; Viridiplantae; Streptophyta; Magnoliopsida; Asterales; Asteraceae. The record is from RNAcentral.